This 1068-nucleotide ribosomal RNA is filed under the name Triticum aestivum (bread wheat). RNAcentral's name for it is "partial small subunit ribosomal RNA". The record is from RNAcentral. Lineage: Eukaryota; Viridiplantae; Streptophyta; Magnoliopsida; Poales; Poaceae.
AUGCCAGAGAUUACAUCACCAAUGCUUUAUGCAAAGGAGAGGAUCAAUCAAAGCUUCCCCCAACAAAAUAAGCAACCUUUGCUCAAGAAGAUGUUGGACAUUGUUGAGAACCGUUGGGAGACUCAAAUGAAUCAUCCAUUGUAUGGGGCUGCUCUUUAUUUGAACCCAGGAAAGUUUUUCCCUAUUGUAAAGAGGAAUGACGAUGCCUUAGUUGGGGAGCUAAGGAGCUGCUUUAAUGAUGUGCUUGCAAAAACGGUGCUUGAUGCCAAUAUACGAAGCAAGAUUGAUCAACAAGCUGUGCUCUAUGAGAACCAUCGAGGAGUCUUUUCUAAUGGGUUGGCAACUGAAAAUAUUGAGAAAAAGGGCCCUCUUGAAUGGUGGUGUUCAUAUGGUGGUCGGGCCAUUGAGAUACAAAGAUUUGCGAAACGCAUUGUCAGCCUUUGUGCAUCAUCUUCCGGGUGUGAGAGGAAUUGGAGCACCUUUGAAUUUAUCCAUACGAAGAAAAGGAACAGGCUGCAAUGGAAAAGGUUGAAUGAUUGUGUUUUUGUUUCAUAUAACCGCAAGAUGAUGCAUAGGUUUCAAAAGAGGCGUGAGAAGGCAGGAGACACAAGCUUUGACCCUUUGGUGUAUGAGGAUUUUGAUUGGGGCAAUGAGUGGGUUGACCCAACAAUACCACUACCUCAAGGUGCUCGUGGGUGUCCUGAUGACAUCUCAUGGGAUGAUGUUGAUGUGGCUGUUGGUGCAUCCGUGAACCUUCAAGGUCGCAAUCUUCCUAGGACAGGUACUACACUUCAAAGGGGGCCUUCAGCUGUCCAUGUGCAGUUUAAAAGACAGCGCAAGAGACCUACAGCAACACGUCCAACACUACUUGAAGAAGAUUGGGAAGAGGAGGACUUGGAGCAAGAGCAACACUCAAGUAACCCCAGCCGCAAUGAAGAGGAGGAGGAUUCAGACUAUGUGCAGGAUGAUGAUGAUGUGAGCAAUGAUGAUGAAGAUCCAACCAAUGAUGACCAAGAUGGUGAAGACAACACCAAUGCCACCAUGGAUGAGUUUGAUGACGGUUAUUGA